UUUUGAAUUAAUAAUUUAAAGUCUAAUCUGCCCCCUGAUAAUAUAUUAAAGGGCUGCAGUAUUUUGACUGUACAAAGGUAGCAUAAUCAUUAGUCUCUUAAUUGGUGACUUGUAUGAAAGAUUUAAUGAGAUAUAUACUGUCUCUUUUUAAUUUAUAAAAUUUAAUUUUUUAGUUAAAAAGCUAAAAUUUAUUUAAAAGACGAGAAGACCCUAUAGAGUUUUAUAUUUUAAUUAUAUUAAAAUUUUUUGUAAAAUUUAUUAUUUUAAUAUAUAUAUAUAAAUAUUUUGUUGGGGUGAUAAAAAAAUUUAAAUAACUUUUUUUAUAAUUUUACAUUAAUAAAUGAAUAAAUGAUCCGUAAUUUACGAUUAUAAGAAAAAAUUACCUUAGGGAUAACAGCGUAAUUUUUUUUUUUAGUUCUAAUAAGAAAAAGAGUUUGCGACCUCGAUGUUGGAUUAAGAUAAAAUUUAAAUGCAAAAGUUUAAAAUUUUUGAUCUG
Molecule: ribosomal RNA, 496 nt
Filed under: Parnassius orleans
Lineage: Eukaryota; Metazoa; Arthropoda; Insecta; Lepidoptera; Papilionidae
Description: partial 16S ribosomal RNA
Source: RNAcentral